CGUUCCCGGGCCUUGUACACACCGCCCGUCACGUCAUGAAAGUCGGUAACACCCGAAGCCCAUGGCCCAACCCGCAGGGGGGGAGUGGUCGAAGGUGGGACUGGCGAUUGGGACG
This 115-nucleotide ribosomal RNA is filed under the name uncultured bacterium. RNAcentral describes it as "partial 16S ribosomal RNA". It matches the Rfam family "Bacterial small subunit ribosomal RNA", at positions 1369 to 1482 of the family's 1533-position model. The record is from RNAcentral.